RNAcentral lists this non-coding RNA (145 nucleotides) under Paenibacillus tuaregi. RNAcentral's name for it is "FMN riboswitch (RFN element)". It matches the Rfam family "FMN riboswitch aptamer (RFN element)". From Rfam's summary of the family: The RFN element is a highly conserved domain that is found frequently in the 5'-untranslated regions of prokaryotic mRNAs that encode for flavin mononucleotide (FMN) biosynthesis and transport proteins. This element is a metabolite-dependent riboswitch that directly binds FMN in the absence of proteins. In Bacillus subtilis, the riboswitch most likely controls gene expression by causing premature transcription termination within the 5' untranslated region of the ribDEAHT operon and precluding access to the ribosome-binding site of ypaA mRNA. Lineage: Bacteria; Bacillati; Bacillota; Bacilli; Caryophanales; Paenibacillaceae. The record is from RNAcentral.
UCCUUCGGGGCAGGGUGAAAUUCCCUACCGGCGGUGAUGGUGUAUUCAUGACACCUCAGUCCGUGACCCGGUGUGCAAGUGUAUGCGCAUCGGCUGACCUGGUGCAACUCCGGGACCGACAGUAUAGUCUGGAUGGGAGAAGGAG